Molecule: ribosomal RNA, 440 nt
Filed under: uncultured bacterium
Lineage: Bacteria
Description: partial 16S ribosomal RNA
Rfam family: Bacterial small subunit ribosomal RNA
Source: RNAcentral
CCUACGGGCGGCAGCAGUAGGGAAUAUUGGACAAUGGGCGAAAGCCUGAUCCAGCCAUGCCGCGUGAGUGAUGAAGGCCUUAGGGUUGUAAAGCUCUUUCGGCGGGGACGAUAAUGACGGUACCCGCAGAAGAAGCCCCGGCUAACUUCGUGCCAGCAGCCGCGGUAAUACGAAGGGGGCUAGCGUUGUUCGGAAUCACUGGGCGUAAAGCGCAUGCAGGCGGAUCGCUAAGUCGGGGGUGAAAGCCCGAGGCUCAACCUCGGAACUGCCUUCGAUACUGACGAUCUUGAGUCCGGGAGAGGUGAGUGGAACUGCGAGUGUAGAGGUGAAAUUCGUAGAUAUUCGCAAGAACACCAGUGGCGAAGGCGGCUCACUGGCCCGGUACUGACGCUGAGAUGCGAAAGCGUGGGGAGCAAACAGGAUUAGAUACCCCAGUAGUC